RNAcentral lists this ribosomal RNA (1185 nucleotides) under Arthrobacter sp. Its description in RNAcentral is "bacterial SSU rRNA". It matches the Rfam family "Bacterial small subunit ribosomal RNA", at positions 29 to 1195 of the family's 1533-position model. The record is from RNAcentral. Lineage: Bacteria; Bacillati; Actinomycetota; Actinomycetes; Micrococcales; Micrococcaceae.
AUGGAUGGCGGCGUGCUUACACAUGCAGUCGAACGAUGAACCUCACUUGUGGGGGGAUUAGUGGCGAACGGGUGAGUAACACGUGAGUAACCUGCCCUUAACUCUGGGAUAAGCCUGGGAAACUGGGUCUAAUACUGGAUAUUGACUUUUCCUCGCAUGGGGUUUGGUUGAAAGAUUUUUUGGUUUUGGAUGGACUCGCGGCCUAUCAGCUUGUUGGUGAGGUAAUGGCUUACCAAGGCGACGACGGGUAGCCGGCCUGAGAGGGUGACCGGCCACACUGGGACUGAGACACGGCCCAGACUCCUACGGGAGGCAGCAGUGGGGAAUAUUGCACAAUGGGCGAAAGCCUGAUGCAGCGACGCCGCGUGAGGGAUGACGGCCUUCGGGUUGUAAACCUCUUUCAGUAGGGAACAAGGCUAGACGUUGUCUGGUUGAGGGUACUUGCAGAAGAAGCGCCGGCUAACUACGUGCCAGCAGCCGCGGUAAUACGUAGGGCGCAAGCGUUAUCCGGAAUUAUUGGGCGUAAAGAGCUCGUAGGCGGUUUGUCGCGUCUGCCGUGAAAGUCCGGGGCUCAACUCCGGAUCUGCGGUGGGUACGGGCAGACUAGAGUGAUGUAGGGGAGACUGGAAUUCCUGGUGUAGCGGUGAAAUGCGCAGAUAUCAGGAGGAACACCGAUGGCGAAGGCAGGUCUCUGGGCAUUAACUGACGCUGAGGAGCGAAAGCAUGGGGAGCGAACAGGAUUAGAUACCCUGGUAGUCCAUGCCGUAAACGUUGGGCACUAGGUGUGGGGGACAUUCCACGUUUUCCGCGCCGUAGCUAACGCAUUAAGUGCCCCGCCUGGGGAGUACGGCCGCAAGGCUAAAACUCAAAGGAAUUGACGGGGGCCCGCACAAGCGGCGGAGCAUGCGGAUUAAUUCGAUGCAACGCGAAAGAACCUUACCAAGGCUUGACAUGAACCCGGAAACACCUAGAAGAUAGGUGCCCCCACUUGGGGGUCGGUUUUACAGGGGGGUGCAUGGGUUGUCCGCCGCCUCGUGUCGUGAAAAUGUUGGGGUUAAGUCCCCGCAACGAAGCGCCACCCUUCGUUUCCAUGUUUGCCCAGCGGGGUUUAUGCCCGGGGAACUCCUGGGGAGAACUGGCCGGGGGUCCAACUCCGGAAGGAAAGGGGGGGGGAACGAACUUCUA